AACUGGAGGAUGACAAAUCAAAAUUUUUUUCCUAAUUUUCAGCUUUUUUUUCUCUUCAAAAAAAAUUAAAUCUAACUAAAAAUGCUAAAAAUUAGGAGGAAAAAUCUGAUUUGUCAUUCUCCUAUU
RNAcentral lists this microRNA precursor (126 nucleotides) under Gossypium hirsutum (cotton). RNAcentral's name for it is "MIR7504 microRNA precursor family". It matches the Rfam family "MIR7504 microRNA precursor family". Lineage: Eukaryota; Viridiplantae; Streptophyta; Magnoliopsida; Malvales; Malvaceae. The record is from Rfam by way of RNAcentral.